Molecule: unclassified non-coding RNA, 289 nt
Filed under: uncultured fungus
Lineage: Eukaryota; Fungi
Description: partial contains 18S rRNA, ITS1, 5.8S rRNA, ITS2 and 28S rRNA
Source: RNAcentral
AAGGAUCAUUAUCGAAUAAAUAUGCACAGGCUGUUGCUGGCCCUUGGGGCAUGUGCACGCUUGUCAUCUUUGUUUCUCCAACUGUGCACGUAUUGUAGACCUGGGGGGGGGAUUGGAUUUGUAACUCCGAGUUGGGACUGCUGUAGCUUCAGUUGAAGUCGGCUUUGCCUUGCACUUCCAGGUUCUAUGUUAUUUUUCUUCACACACCUCUGUCUAGAAUGUUGAACCAGGUCCUUUUGUACCUAUAAAGUUGAAUAUACAACUUUCAGCAACGGAUCUCUUGGCUCUC